Molecule: transfer RNA, 70 nt
Filed under: Dipodomys ordii (Ord's kangaroo rat)
Lineage: Eukaryota; Metazoa; Chordata; Mammalia; Rodentia; Heteromyidae
Rfam family: tRNA
About the family: Transfer RNA (tRNA) molecules are approximately 80 nucleotides in length. Their secondary structure includes four short double-helical elements and three loops (D, anti-codon, and T loops). Further hydrogen bonds mediate the characteristic L-shaped molecular structure. tRNAs have two regions of fundamental functional importance: the anti-codon, which is responsible for specific mRNA codon recognition, and the 3' end, to which the tRNAs corresponding amino acid is attached (by aminoacyl-tRNA synthetases). tRNAs cope with the degeneracy of the genetic code in two manners: having more than one tRNA (with a specific anti-codon) for a particular amino acid; and 'wobble' base-pairing, i.e. permitting non-standard base-pairing at the 3rd anti-codon position.
Source: Rfam by way of RNAcentral
GGGAAUGUGGCUUAGUGGUAGAGUGCUUGCCCAGCAUGCAUGAAGCCCUGGGUUCGAUUCCUCACUACCA